Molecule: ribosomal RNA, 466 nt
Filed under: uncultured bacterium
Lineage: Bacteria
Description: partial 16S ribosomal RNA
Rfam family: Bacterial small subunit ribosomal RNA
Source: RNAcentral
GAUGAACGCUGGCGGCGUGCUUAACACAUGCAAGUCGAACGAUGAAGCCCAGCUUGCUGGGUGGAUUAGUGGCGAACGGGUGAGUAACACGUGAGUAACCUGCCCUUAACUCUGGGAUAAGCCUGGGAAACUGGGUCUAAUACCGGAUAGGAGCGUCCACCGCAUGGUGGGUGUUGGAAAGAUUUUUCGGUUUUGGAUGGACUCGCGGCCUAUCAGCUUGUUGGUGAGGUAAUGGCUCACCAAGGCGACGACGGGUAGCCGGCCUGAGAGGGUGACCGGCCCCCCUGGGACUGAGAGACGGCCCAGACUCCUACGGGAGGCAGCAGUGGGGAAUAUUGCACAAUGGGCGCAAGCCUGAUGCAGCGACGCCGCGUGAGGGAUGACGGCCUUCGGGUUGUAAACCUCUUUCAGUAGGGAAGAAGCGAAAGUGACGGUACCUGCAGAAGAAGCACCGGCUAACUACGUG